GACACGGACCAGACUCCUACGGGAGGCAGCAGUGAGGAAUAUUGGGCAAUGGAGGCAACUCUGACCCAGCCAUGCCGCGUGCAGGAAGACGGCCCUAUGGGUUGUAAACUGCUUUUAUAUACCAAGAAACCCCAUCACGUGUGAUGGCUUGACGGUAGUAUAUGAAUAAGGACCGGCUAACUCCGUGCCAGCAGCCGCGGUAAUACGGAGGGUCCGAGCGUUAUCCGGAUUUAUUGGGUUUAAAGGGUGCGCAGGCGGUACAAUAAGUCAGUGGUGAAAUCCCGAGGCUCAACCUCGGAACUGCCAUUGAUACUGUUGUGCUAGAGUACAGACGAAGUAGGCGGAAUGUAGCAUGUAGCGGUGAAAUGCUUAGAUAUGCUACAGAACACCGAUUGCGAAGGCAGCUUACUAGACUGUUACUGACGCUAAUGCACGAAAGCGUGGGGAGCGAACAGGAUUAGAUACCCUGGUAGUCCACGCCGUAAACUAUGAUCACUCGAUGUUGGCGAUACACAGUCAGUGUCUAAGGGAAACCGAUAAGUGAUCCACCUGGGGAGUACGAUCGCAAGGUUGAAACUCAAAGGAAUUGACGGGGGCCCGCACAAGCGGAGGAGCAUGUGGUUUAAUUCGAUGAUACGCGAGGAACCUUACCUAGACUUAAAUGUAGAUUGCAUAGAUUAGAAAUAAUCUUUUCCUUCGGGACUAUUUACAAGGUGCUGCAUGGUUGUCGUCAGCUCGUGCCGUGAGGUGUCGGGUUAAGUCCCAUAACGAGCGCAACCCCUAUUCUUAGUUGCCAGCGGGUCAUGCCGGGGACUCUAGGAAAACUGCCGGCGCAAGCCGUGAGGAAGGUGGGGAUGACGUCAAAUCAGCACGGCCCUUACGUCUAGGGCUACACACGUGCUACAAUGGCCGGUACAGAGGGCAGCUACCACGCGAGUGGAUGCGAAUCUCCAAAGCCGGUCUCAGUUCGGAUCGCAGUCUGCAACUCGACUGCGUGAAGUUGGAUUCGCUAGUAAUCGUAUAUCAGCAAUGAUACGGUGAAUACGUUCCCGGGCCUUGUACACACCGCCCGUCAAACAAUGGAAGCUGGGGGUACCUAAAGUCUGUGAUCUCACUUGUGGGAAGCGGCCUAGGGUAAAACUAGUAACUGGUGUUAAGUCGUAACAAGGUAGCCGUACCGGAAGGUGUGGCUG
RNAcentral lists this ribosomal RNA (1193 nucleotides) under invertebrate metagenome. RNAcentral describes it as "bacterial SSU rRNA". It matches the Rfam family "Bacterial small subunit ribosomal RNA", at positions 323 to 1520 of the family's 1533-position model. The record is from RNAcentral.